Molecule: transfer RNA, 87 nt
Filed under: Thiorhodococcus minor
Lineage: Bacteria; Pseudomonadati; Pseudomonadota; Gammaproteobacteria; Chromatiales; Chromatiaceae
Description: tRNA-Leu
Rfam family: tRNA
About the family: Transfer RNA (tRNA) molecules are approximately 80 nucleotides in length. Their secondary structure includes four short double-helical elements and three loops (D, anti-codon, and T loops). Further hydrogen bonds mediate the characteristic L-shaped molecular structure. tRNAs have two regions of fundamental functional importance: the anti-codon, which is responsible for specific mRNA codon recognition, and the 3' end, to which the tRNAs corresponding amino acid is attached (by aminoacyl-tRNA synthetases). tRNAs cope with the degeneracy of the genetic code in two manners: having more than one tRNA (with a specific anti-codon) for a particular amino acid; and 'wobble' base-pairing, i.e. permitting non-standard base-pairing at the 3rd anti-codon position.
Source: RNAcentral
GCCGAGGUGGCGAAAUUGGUAGACGCAUCAGACUCAAAAUCUGACGAGGGCAACCUCGUGCCGGUUCGAGUCCGGCCCUCGGUACCA